UGUGCCAGCAGUCGCGGUUACACAAUUUAUAUAAAUUAAUAUAAUUAAUUAUAAUUGAAUUUUUUUAAAUAUUUUUUAUAAAUAAAUAAUUAUUGAUUAAAUAAUAAAUUUUUUCUACAUAAAAAAAUUUUUAAUUAAUUGAUUUUAAAAAACUUUUUAAAAAACUAGGAUUAGAUACCCUACUAUUAAAAUUAAAUUUAAAAAAUUUAAAUAUUAAAUAUUAAUUUAUUAAAUUUAAAAAAAUUGACGGUAUUUUUUUUUAGAUAAACUUGAAAUUUAAUUUGAUAGUCCACAAUUUAAUCAACUAAUUAAAAAUUUUUAUAUAUUACUGUUUAAAUUUAAUUUUAUAAUUUUAAUUUUUUAUUAUUUUUAUAAUUUAAUUCAAGUCUAAAUAUAAAUUUAAAUUAGAAUAUUUGAGUUUCUUUAAAAUAUAAAUUAAUUAAAUUUAAUUAAAUUAUUAAUUUAUAAACUAAAAAUAUAUUUAUUUAUAUAUAUAUAAUAUUUAAAAAUUUUAUAUAUUAGAAUUUAAAAAUAAAAAUUUUUAUUUAAAAAUUUUAAAAAUCAAAAUAAAAUAUGUACAUAUAGCCCGUCAUUUUUAUAUAUUUAAAAUUUUUUUUAUAUAUAAAACAAGUCGAAACAAAGUAAUCUUACUGGAAAGUAAAAUUAGAAAU
This 671-nucleotide ribosomal RNA is filed under the name Hygroplitis sinica. Its description in RNAcentral is "12S ribosomal RNA". The record is from RNAcentral. Lineage: Eukaryota; Metazoa; Arthropoda; Insecta; Hymenoptera; Braconidae.